This 64-nucleotide transfer RNA is filed under the name Thyridosmylus langii. RNAcentral's name for it is "tRNA-Arg". Lineage: Eukaryota; Metazoa; Arthropoda; Insecta; Neuroptera; Osmylidae. The record is from RNAcentral.
AAGUAUGAAGCAAUUUUUGCAGUUAGUUUCGACCUAACCCUUAGAUUUUAUUAAUCCUUACUUU